AUGAACGCUGGCGGCGUGCCUCAUACAUGCAAGUCGAGCGCACGGACGAGAAGCUUGCUUCUCUGAUGUUAGCGGCGGACGGGUGAGUAACACGUGGAUAACCUACCUAUAAGACUGGGAUAACUUCGGGAAACCGGAGCUAAUACCGGAUGAUAUUUUGAACCGCAUGGUUCAAAAGUGAAAGACGGUCUUGCUGUCACUUAUAGAUGGAUCCGCGCUGCAUUAGCUAGUUGGUAAGGUAACGGCUUACCAAGGCAACGAUGCAUAGCCGACCUGAGAGGGUGAUCGGCCACACUGGAACUGAGACACGGUCCAGACUCCUACGGGAGGCAGCAGUAGGGAAUCUUCCGCAAUGGGCGAAAGCCUGACUGAGCAACGCCGCGUGAGUGAUGAAGGUCUUCGGAUCGUAAAACUCUGUUAUUAGGGAAGAACAUAUGUGUAAGUAACUGUGCACAUCUUGACGGUACCUAAUCAGAAAGCCACGGCUAACUACGUG
RNAcentral lists this ribosomal RNA (496 nucleotides) under uncultured bacterium. RNAcentral describes it as "partial 16S ribosomal RNA". It matches the Rfam family "Bacterial small subunit ribosomal RNA", at positions 29 to 507 of the family's 1533-position model. The record is from RNAcentral.